RNAcentral lists this ribosomal RNA (254 nucleotides) under uncultured bacterium. RNAcentral's name for it is "partial 16S ribosomal RNA". It matches the Rfam family "Bacterial small subunit ribosomal RNA", at positions 524 to 776 of the family's 1533-position model. The record is from RNAcentral.
UACAGAGGGUGCGAACGUUGUUCGGAUUUACUGGGCGUAAAAGCGCGUGUAGGCGGUCUCGCAAGUCGGAUGUGAAAGCCCAGGGCUCAACCCUGGAAGUGCACUCGAUACUGCGAGGCUAGAGUCCCGGAGAGGAUGGUGGAACUCUCGGUGUAGAGGUGAAAUUCGUAGAUAUCGAGAAGAACACCGGUGGCGGAAGGCGGCCAUCUGGACGGUGACUGACGCUGAGAGCGAAAGCGUGGGGAGCAAACAGG